Molecule: non-coding RNA, 119 nt
Organism: Pteropus alecto (black flying fox)
Lineage: Eukaryota; Metazoa; Chordata; Mammalia; Chiroptera; Pteropodidae
Source: Rfam
GUCUACGGUCAUGCCACCCUGAACAAGCCCAAUCCUGUCCGAUCUUGGAAGCUAAGAGGGGCCGAGCCUGGUUAGUACUUGGAUGGGAGACCACCUAAGAAUACCAGGUACUAUAGGCA